GAAAAAAAAAAAACAAAGCACCUUGGAUUAAGCAUUAAGCAAUUAACCACUCCUUGCAUUGUUUUUGACUGGGCAAGCACAGGCAGGGCAGGGCAGGGCAUAUUACUGGCCAAAUCCACCUUCUCUCUGGCGACCAAAUCGCUCCCUCUUUCUUCUUCUCCGAUUCUCUCUCUCUCUUCGUCGAUUUUUCUUUUGUCUUCUCUAUUCAAUCAUCUACACAAUUAGGUAAAGAUUCAAAAUCGAACCAGACCGAUCCAUUUUCCAAAGGCGCUGGAUAUGUAAAUAUUUUGGAUGAGUGUUAGUUAGCUAUUUGUAAUGGAAGAGGAGGAAGAAAAGAAAGAAUCAACCUUGGACUUGCAUUUGUCAUGGUCUCCUUUACUUUCCUCCAAACACUUUUUAAGAGCUUGGGCUUCAUCUUGAGACGUUAUCCUCUGCGUGGCAUUACCGCUGACACGAAUUUCUCCCUUCUCACUAUCCAUGGCGAAUUAGUAAUCUGAAGCGAUCAUCCAAAAUUCUAUUCAAAGAAAAUAAACAUAUUAUCUGAUCUAGUUGCCUUUACCUAAAGCCCAAAACCAAGUCAAGAAUAAGUGCAGAGAGAACUAAGCAUGAAGGAGAUUGAUGAACUUACAACCGAGAAAGAGAAUGAAGAGAAAGAGAAUGAAAGAAGAAGACAGUAGGAAAAUGCCAAUAGAGUGGUGUUGUUGACGAGCUUUGAGUAAGAAAUGAACAUUAAAAAAAAGAAAGGAAUCAAUAUCAACGAGUAAACGUCACAAGAGCAUGAUUGU
Molecule: unclassified non-coding RNA, 785 nt
Filed under: Hevea brasiliensis (rubber tree)
Lineage: Eukaryota; Viridiplantae; Streptophyta; Magnoliopsida; Malpighiales; Euphorbiaceae
Source: RNAcentral